AAAGCACACUACUUGGAGGAAAAGGGAGAAGCAUUCACAUUUGAUGAAAUCUAUCACUUCAUGGUAUCCUAAAUUCGGGAGUAUGGCCCGGACUUUGAUAUCAACGGUUUUGUAAACUGUUGUACGAAGAGAUCAAUGGCAGAGUAAAACAUGCUGUCAUCUCGCUGAUUAAUCGAGAGCGUGAAGGAGAGCAAAUUGAUCGAACUUUGGUUAAGAAUGUUCUCCAUAUAUUUGCCGAGAUUGGAGUAGAGAAUAUGGAAUGUUACUUAAAUGAGUUCCGAAUUCCUUGUCGGGCAAGUUCCGACCCGCAUGAAGAAUGCUUACAGAGAAAGAAGGAUAGGGUUUUUUACAUUUAGCAUGGGGGAACGAGGACAAACAAAUAGAUUUGGAGCAAGUUAAACAGCUUAAGGACCAUAACCCAUGAUAAAAGAAGUGUGGAUAUUGCAGCACUGUUUGUGGAUUCUCAUGGCUCAUGAGAGAAGAAUUGAAGAGUUUUAAAGAAGGAAAACUUCCAAUGAAUUAGUCUUUAUUAUCCAAAGGACAAUUUGAGGAAAGCUAGUGCUUUGUUGCUAAACUGCUUAUACUGUUCAUUUCGCUUCAAAUCUUCGCCAUUUUCUCAUUUUGCUUUUUCUUUGCUAAUUUAUUGUAGAAUUGCGCCCAUAGCAUAUUAAAAAUCUCAAAUUUCUUUUUUUCUUUGGUCAUAUUUUUGCAUAACCUUAACUGAAAGAUGUCAAACCUAAA
This is a long non-coding RNA of Papaver somniferum (opium poppy), 741 nucleotides long. RefSeq lists it as uncharacterized. The record is from RefSeq and is a predicted model, not a curated record. The transcript has 5 exons. NCBI's taxonomy places the organism in Eukaryota, Viridiplantae, Streptophyta, Magnoliopsida, Ranunculales, Papaveraceae.